Poecilia latipinna (sailfin molly) is the source of this 430-nucleotide long non-coding RNA. RefSeq lists it as uncharacterized. The record is from RefSeq and is a predicted model, not a curated record. Lineage: Eukaryota; Metazoa; Chordata; Actinopteri; Cyprinodontiformes; Poeciliidae. The transcript is spliced from 4 exons.
AAAAGAGACGCUGGAGUCUGGGAGAUGACUGCUGUCCUUCAUGACUGAUCGGAAGAGAUGGUUCGAACUUCCUCCUUCGUUCUCUGCCUUCUGGUCCUGCUCUUCGUCCACGAAGCUUCCUUUUCAACUCAUUUUGGAUUCGGGGUUCAGCUGGCUGAUGUCGCCACCCGGAGAGGACGGCUGCUGAGUCCAAUUGUUUUUCUGCAAGAAGAAAGAGAAAUCAUUGCAAAUGAACAAAAGUGAAACAAGAGACCGCGGCCGUCACUCACGUGGACGCUGCUGCUUUCACGAAGAACUUCAACAAGCCAGUCUGCCACGUCCUCCUUGAAAAGAAAGAAAAACGGAGAGAAAAUCCUGACAGAAAUCGACUGCAAGGGUCGGAGCACUGAUCGUCUCUGUGAGUCCGGGUUUGGUUUGCUAGGAUUCGCCA